CGGAUCCGGUUGACACAGCGUCAGAGCGAGUGGUCGGUCUUAUGUGGGUUCAAAACGAGGUAGAGGAGGGCCGAGCCGCCCCAAGGCCGGCGGCAGCGAGGGAGAGAGAGCCGGCUGCUCUAGGGUUGUAGGGAGGAUGCCCGCGCGCCGCUGAGCCGCUCUCUUGCUGGUGCGUUCUCAGCCGAGUGAGCGCGGUUACUUCGUCGGGUAGAUAGGACCUGCCAAAUUCGGUAUGUUUUCGUUUUUAUCAUCGAUCACGCUACUUACCUCGAGUACUGAAGGUGCCAUUAGGUACUACUUCAAAGGUUUCUGGCGGUGUCGUAGGCCGAACCUAGGGUGAUCAAACCGCCUCGACCAGGCGAACCAACAAGCCCGGUACCUCCCUGACCGGCUGCUCUAGGCCAGCGAGCUGGUCUCGUUAGCAUUUACCCGCGGAUCCACCUGGUUGUAGCGGCGGUGGCUCGACCUCAACGAGUUCUGGUUAUACGAGAUCUAGACCAAGUAUAGACAGCAGCGGCUAGGUGCUGUACUCCGCGACCACGUCGUUCGUUCUCUACGGUGCAUGAGGUAGCUUCACUAAGUUCUGUUCUAACUCAUGGCAUCCGAAGUCAGGUCGGAACAAGGCGUAGUGUUCUAAGAGUUAGUAGACAAGUUCGACGAAGAACGAGACUCCACAGCUACCUUGACGAGGUUAAGUUUGUCCCAGUAGUCCCUCUAGUUUUACACUUACUCUUUCGAGCGUCCGAACAGGGAGAGGACCUGUUCCCACUUCCGGUCAAAAGGUUAGGUGGAGCCGGCGGCGAACCAAAGCAGCUACUAUGAGCAGCUUGUUGCCACAUACCCGCACUGUACCUCUCCCUACUCCAGCACGUCUACGAGUAGGCCGGAACGCCACCCCGAAGUGGUCUCUCCUACGAGAGAGAACAACCACUACCUCCUUAACCCUUCUGUUGCCAGUGAGUCUACCAUAAGUUACUACUUUCGCAGUCCGUUGUAAAACUACAGUCUACAACCCACAGUCAAAGGUCACAGAGGUUGGUUAACCUCGAGCGUCGUCUCUAAAAUUCUAGUCGGGUUGGUAGCACCCAACCUAGAUUACUCUUCUUCUACCACCUAAAAGUUCACGAAGUCAGGCUCGAAGCAGCUAAACACCGUAGGUUCUCUACGGACUAACAAGAUCUACCACAUACGUUGUCUUUCCUACUUUAGAACGACCUGUAGGAGUGAGGAGAAGAAAGUCGUCUGUUGUCUUCGUUUUAAAACCACUGAAGAGCGUACUAUGGAGUGUACAACCCACGGAGUGUCGACAUGUGACAUUUAGGAGACCUAUAGUUAGUGACAACCAGGGACGAGUUCCUUGUACGAAAAGGGUAACUACCAUUCUUACAGGUAGGUCUAGACAUCAACUAAUCCUCCUUUUAACGAUGUUUUUGAUUACCUAGUGGAAACCGACGGUUCGACCACCCUCCCAACGAUCCUGUUUGUUCCUCGUUUCGCGUGACCUCUUUAUAGUACCUUUGUCCCAAUGUUUUACCGUAACAAAAGAGACGGGAUGAGAACUCGAUAUUCUUGAACGGACCUGUGGAGUUCGCUACGAAGUGUAUAACGUCAAACAAAAGUCUCCUGAUAUUUAAACUAGGUCGUGUAAACAGAGCGGAAACCUAACGUAUCCCAAAACAUGUAGGUGUUCCGUUCCGACUCUUUUCCUACCUUCUGUAUCGAGCUCUUAUAAAACUAGUCGAGGAAAGUGCGAGUAAAAAGGUCUUUUAGUUCGAACCUGUGUUCUGAAUGAUGAACCACGUACCGGAUGAGGUACUUGAACGUUUUAGACGACACCUCCUCCUGACGAAGGCAUAACUACUACCGUACUCAACACUGUAGGGUAGUUGUCACGCGGUAGACAGACAGUGGUACUUGUCAAAUGGACCAGAGUGUUUGAAAAGGCCCGAUCUUUUCAACGCAUGGAACGAUUAGGUUGGUAGUGAAGGUAAGAGGAGGUCAACGAAGGUUCUCCUAAAUUUUCCAUAGGACCGCUUCAGUUUUGUAAACGUACAAGAACUAGAGUCAACGAUAUUGAGAUUUCUCAACGGAUUAACGUGACAACUCAAUAACGUGGAAGCAAUGGAGAGAUAGGUACCUAGGUAGGUCUCCGAAGGACUCAGCUAACCGUCCGAGACCGUAGACGUUUGUAACGCGAAGUGGCCCCUUACAAGGGAACUCUUCGAAGGACGAUCGUAAUAAUACAACCAGUUAAACGCCGUGGA
Molecule: ribosomal RNA, 2264 nt
Filed under: Triticum aestivum (bread wheat)
Lineage: Eukaryota; Viridiplantae; Streptophyta; Magnoliopsida; Poales; Poaceae
Description: partial small subunit ribosomal RNA
Source: RNAcentral